CCAAACGAAACCAAGCCCCUCUCUUCUCAGUUCUCACAGUCUCGCUCUCUACACCCUCAGCGCCGGCGAGACCGUUCCUCCCACCACCUCGCAGCGCCGCGAAGCCUUCCUCCCAGCGCCACCGAAUCUUUCCUCCCACUGCUCCCAGGACCUCCUCGCGGACAGAGAGAGCACCACGAAGCCCCAGCCACCGCCAGCGCCCAGCAGCCCAGCACCACCCUCGUGCAGUCGCACCCAGCAGGCCAGCAGUAGCACAGCACCACCCACUCACCCAGGACCACCCAGCGGACAGAGCACCACGCCACCACCCAGCAGCGUUUCUGGCCACCCACAACACAACACCUCCCACCCAGUCACCGAUUCAGGUCAGAGAUGGAGCCCGAGCCACUGAGUCAGGUCUAAAAGGUGGACCAGCAUUACCGAGGAAGUUGAUCUCGCAGGGUGCUGCACAGAAGCAAUAGUGUUGAGGUUCACCCACUCAUUUUGAAGUUGACUGAUGCCAGAGAUAACAGUGUGUUAACUGUAAAAUUAAGCAAAAAGGCGAACAUAAGGGAACUAUAUGAAUUGGUGUGCAAAAUCAAAGGAGUAGAACAAAAAAAGCAAGAAGGGCAUUGAUGCAGGAGCAAUAGGAGCAUGCACUGGGAAGCCAUUCAAGGAGUCAACCCCCAAAAUGACAUCAGCAUCUUGAAGCUAGUCGCAUUUUGAAAGGUUGGGCAUUGCACUUUCUUCUUCAAUGGCUAAACAAAAUCUUAGGCAAGCCAUUGAUUUUUUGUAUUCUCGGGGCCUUGCUACUGCUGAUUCCUAUACGCGCCAUGUCCUUCACUGCGUUCGAGCAAAUGACUUUGUUCAAGCCAAGAGAUUGCAGUCUCACAUGCAACUUCACCUUUUCCAACCCAAAGACUCCUUCAUCCACAACCAGCUCCUCCAUUUGUAUGCCAAAUGCGGCAAACUCUCCAAUGCACAAGACCUGUUUGAUAAUAUGACCCACAGAGAUGUUUAUUCUUGGAAUGCGUUGCUUUCUGCUUAUGCUAAGUUGGGUUUGGUUGAGGAUUUGUGCACUGUCUUUGAUCAAAUGCCUUCUCGUGAUUCCGUUUCUUAUAACACCUUGAUUGCGUGUUUUGCAACUACUGGGCAUUCAGGCAAGGCAUUGAAGAUUUUAGUGAGGAUGCAAGAAGAUGGGUUUCAGCCCACCCAGUACUCCUAUGUGAAUGCAUUGCAAGCAUGUUCUACGCUCUUGGAUUUGAAGCUUGGUAAGCAGAUUCACGGGAGAGUUGUUAUUAGUGGUUGUGGGGAUAACACUUUUGUAUGGAAUGCUAUCACUGGUGUCUAUGCAAAGUGUGGUGAUAUUCACAGGGCACGGUGGUUCUUUGAUCGAAUGACACAUAAGAAUGUUGUUUCCUGGAAUCUUAUGAUCUAUGGAUAUGUCAAAUUGGGGCAUCAUGAUGAGUGCAUUCGAUUGUUUAAUAAGAUGAAGUUAUUGGGUUUGAAACCUGACCAAGUUACAGCAUCAAUUGUUAUCAAUGCUUACUUUCAGUGUGGACAUGUGGAUGAUGCAAGGAGGAUGUUCAGUGAAAUACCUAGAAAGGAUGAGAUUUGUUGGACAACAAUGAUAGUUGGUUAUGCACAUAAUGGAAGAGAAGAGGAUGCAUUGAUGUUGUUUGGCGACAUGCUGCGUGGAGACGUUAGACCUGACAGUUACACCAUUUCAAGUGUGGUCAGCUCCUGCGCCAAGCUAGCUUCUUUGUGUCAUGGUCAGGUUGUCCAUGGAAAAGUAAUAGUAAUGGGUGUUGAUCAUAGCAUGCUUGUGUCAAGUGCUCUUGUUGAUAUGUACUGCAAGUGUGGAGUUACUUUGGAUGCUUGGAGCAUUUUUUGGAUAAUGCCUAUUCGGAAUGUGAUUACUUGGAAUUCUAUGAUCCAUGGUUAUGCACAAAAUGGUCAACCACAUGAAGCACUGGCUCUUUAUGAAAGGAUGCUUCAGGAAAAUAUCAAACCUGAUAGCAUUAGUUUUGUGGGCGUAUUAUCUGCUUGUAUCAGUGCUGACAUGGUCGCAAAGGGACAGGAAUAUUUUAAUUCAAUAAGUGAACAUGGGAUGACACCAACAUUGGAUCACUAUGCAUGUAUGGUCACUCUCAUUGGUCGCUCUAGUAGUGUUGAUAAAGCUGUGGAUUUGAUCAAAUGCAUGCCUCAUGAACCAGAUUACCUGAUUUGGUCCACUCUACUCUCUAUUUGUGCAAAGAAGGGUGAUAUCAAGAAUGCAGAAUUGGCAGCUGGUCAUCUCUUCAAGUUGGAUCCACGUAAUGCAGGACCUUAUAUCAUGCUUUCCAACUUAUACGCUGCUUGCGGGAGAUGGGAAGAAGUAGGUGAUGUACGAUCUCUCAUGAAUAAAAACAAUGCAAAAAAGUUUGCUGCUUAUAGUUUGGUUGAGGUUGAGAGUGAAGUCCACAAAUUUGUUUCAGAAGAUCGUACUCAUCCAGCAGUGGAAAAAAUCUAUGAUGAAUUGAAUAGAUUGAUUUCAAUAUUGCAACGAAUUGGGUAUAAUCCAGAUACAAACAUUGUUCUGCAUAAUGUGGGACAGGAGGAAAAAUUUAAAUCCAUCUCAUACCACAGUGAGAAACUUGCUCUUGCUUUUGCUUUAAUCAGAAAGCCCAAUGGAAUUGCACCUAUCAGGAUCAUAAAAAAUAUACGUGUCUGUGAUGACUGCCAUGUGUUUAUGAAAUUUGCAUCAGUCCAUAUUGGAAGGACAAUCAUUCUGAGAGAUUCAAACAAAUUCCAUCAUUUCUUUGGUGGGAAGUGCUCUUGCAAGGACCAUUGGUAAAGUCUUAAUCCAGAUAAUGAUAUCCUGUGCAUUUUUAAUUGUUUUGAAAAGGAAUGGUGCUGGCAAUAGAAGGGAAAAUUAAAUCUAUAUGUAAACGUGGACUCAAUAGAUUGGAGCAGCUGUAUAGCACGGGAAUGCCUUUAGAAAAUUUCUUGGGAUGACACAAUGUGUUGGGCUAGGAAGCAAGUAUACUCUUUGAAUCCAUUAAUCAAGAAUGGACCUUGAAGAAAGAGAGUCAAGAAAACUAUCAAAUCCCCAUAACUUGAUCCAGACUAGAGGUCUUUGUCACAUGUAGAACCUGCUCGAUUCAGACUAGAGGUUCCUUGUGACAUGUACUGUGUCUACAUGUAACUCAAUCUUGUGGCAGUGUUAAUUGCUUGCCUCUUAAGUGGUAAAGGAAAAAUGAAAGGAUAAUUUGUCGAUAACUUUAUCAGAGAUGAAGAUGCAACACCCGAUGAUGACCUGAGCAUUAUUGAACCUUAACUCCUCAAUGUUCAUCUGCAGUACCAAUGCCUUAAUUCACUGACAAAUCUAGAUUCUUGAUCUCCCCUACCAAGUGUUUCAGGCAUUUAACUCCUGCAAUGGGUCUAAUCAACUACGAGAUGGUUCCAAUGUUGAGUAAGUAAUACACUAAUGCAUCAGUUUCAAUUCUGAAACUCAAACCUCAUAUUCUAUCAUAUUGUGUUAGGGACUUGGGUAUUAUGGAGUGCUCAAAGUCCCACAUGGGUAGUAUGGGAUGUUUGAUGUUGUAUACAAGGAGAGUGAUUCUUUUCCCUUAUCAGCUAGCUUUUAAGGGCACAAAAUUCGUGUAGUGAAGAAAUAAAUGAUCAACACAUUCGAUCAGCUCUAAUAUUAUGUUAGUAUGUUCCUUUGGAUCGGAGUUUAACUUAUAACAAUGCUUCUUUAAUAAAGUUUCUCUUUUACCGAGCGCGCCCUAGCCAUUGCUGCGAUGUUCCUGGCUUAGGUACUUUUGGGUGCAAGGUCAUGGUGUCUCUUCUUCUAGAUGCGGUCUUUUGGCUGUUGAGUUGAUUCCUUCUAGUAAUGAAGCAUGAAGCAUCCAGUUCAUGUUCUUGCAUAUUACUCUCUUGAAGAACAAACAGAUGAUUUUUCGGAUACCAUUGUUAGUAUACCUUUGGAAUUCACCAUAUGUGCAUAAACCUUUUUUUCCCCUCAAACUUCCCCUUACUUUUUCUGUCUUGUAAAUUUUUGCUGUAUUUGUAGUAUCAGGGUUCUCAUUUUUGACUUUUCAAUGCAAUUCCUAGACAGUAGUGUCUUUUUAACAAGGUUAUGUUCUUACUUCGUAUGGUAAAUCAGGGUUCUGUUGUGUUCUUGUUUGUAAUAAGGUUGUAGUAUUAGGGUUCUACGAACUCGACAAUUUAUUCUCCUUUUUUUAAUAAAUAACAAAAAAUGAUUUAUUAUCAG
Arachis ipaensis is the source of this 4237-nucleotide RNA transcript. It is a transcript of the gene named pentatricopeptide repeat-containing protein At2g22070 pseudogene, with no coding region annotated. Lineage: Eukaryota; Viridiplantae; Streptophyta; Magnoliopsida; Fabales; Fabaceae. The record is from RefSeq and is a predicted model, not a curated record.